Molecule: ribosomal RNA, 429 nt
Filed under: uncultured bacterium
Lineage: Bacteria
Description: bacterial SSU rRNA
Rfam family: Bacterial small subunit ribosomal RNA
Source: RNAcentral
GUGGGGAAUAUUGGGCAAUGGGCGCAAGCCUGACCCAGCAACGCCGCGUGAAGGAUGAAGGCUUUCGGGUUGUAAACUUCUUUUAUUCGGGACGAAACAAAUGACGGUACCGAAUGAAUAAGCCACGGCUAACUACGUGCCAGCAGCCGCGGUAAUACGUAGGUGGCAAGCGUUAUCCGGAUUUACUGGGUGUAAAGGGCGUGUAGGCGGGACUGCAAGUCAGAUGUGAAAACUAUGGGCUCAACCCAUAGCCUGCAUUUGAAACUGUAGUUCUUGAGUGCUGGAGAGGCAAUCGGAAUUCCGUGUGUAGCGGUGAAAUGCAUAGAUAUACGGAGGAACACCAGUGGCGAAGGCGGAUUGCUGGACAGUAACUGACGCUGAGGCGCGAAAGCGUGGGGAGCAAACAGGAUUAGAAACCCUAGUAGUCCC